AAGUUAAGGGACCCGAGAAAAAGCUUCUAACUUUAUUCUUAAGCGGUGUAAUCCGUUUUUAACUUU
Molecule: transfer RNA, 66 nt
Filed under: Eucryptorrhynchus brandti
Lineage: Eukaryota; Metazoa; Arthropoda; Insecta; Coleoptera; Curculionidae
Also listed under: 1 other name
Description: tRNA-Ser
Source: RNAcentral